GGCGGCGUGCCUAAUACAUGCAAGUCGAGCGAGCUGAAUUCAAAGAUCCCUUCGGGGUGAUUUGUUGGACGCUAGCGGCGGAUGGGUGAGUAACACGUGGGCAAUCUGCCCUAAAGACUGGGAUACCACUUGGAAACAGGUGCUAAUACCGGAUAACAACAUGAAUCGCAUGAUUCAAGUUUGAAAGGCGGCGCAAGCUGUCACUUUAGGAUGAGCCCGCGGCGCAUUAGCUAGUUGGUGGGGUAAAGGCCUACCAAGGCAAUGAUGCGUAGCCGAGUUGAGAGACUGAUCGGCCACAUUGGGACUGAGACACGGCCCAAACUCCUACGGGAGGCAGCAGUAGGGAAUCUUCCACAAUGGACGCAAGUCUGAUGGAGCAACGCCGCGUGAGUGAAGAAGGUUUUCGGAUCGUAAAGCUCUGUUGUUGGUGAAGAAGGAUAGAGGCAGUAACUGGUCUUUAUUUGACGGUAAUCAACCAGAAAGUCACGGCUAACUACGUGCCAGCAGCCGCGGUAAUACGUAGGU
RNAcentral lists this ribosomal RNA (525 nucleotides) under Lactobacillus delbrueckii subsp. bulgaricus PB2003/044-T3-4. Its description in RNAcentral is "bacterial SSU rRNA". It matches the Rfam family "Bacterial small subunit ribosomal RNA", at positions 38 to 532 of the family's 1533-position model. The record is from RNAcentral. Lineage: Bacteria; Bacillati; Bacillota; Bacilli; Lactobacillales; Lactobacillaceae.